GAUCAUGGCUCAGGAUAAACGCUAGCGACAGGCUUAACACAUGCAAGUCGAGGGGCAGCACAGGUAGCAAUACCGGGUGGCGACCGGCGCACGGGUGAGUAACGCGUAUGCAACUUACCUAUCAGAGGGGGAUAACCCGGCGAAAGUCGGACUAAUACCGCAUGAAGCAGGGGCCCCGCAUGGGGAGUAUUUGCUAAAGAUUUAUCGCUGAUAGAUAGGCAUGCGUUCCAUUAGGCAG
Molecule: ribosomal RNA, 238 nt
Filed under: uncultured bacterium
Lineage: Bacteria
Description: partial 16S ribosomal RNA
Rfam family: Bacterial small subunit ribosomal RNA
Source: RNAcentral